AGUGAACGCUGGCGGCAGGCCUAACACAUGCAAGUCGAACGGCAGCACAGGAGAGCUUGCUCUCUGGGUGGCGAGUGGCGGACGGGUGAGGAUAGCGUCGGAAUCUGCCUAUUUGUGGGGGAUAACCUCGGGAAACCGGGACUAAUACCGCAUACGACCUACGGGUGAAAGCGGAGGACCUUCGGGCUUCGCGCAGAUAGAUGAGCCGACGUCGGAUUAGCUAGUUGGCGGGGUAAUGGCCCACCAAGGCGACGAUCCGUAGCUGGUCUGAGAGGAGGAUCAGACACACUGGAACUGAGACACGGUCCAGACUCAUACGGGAGGCAGCAGUGGGGAAUAGUGGACAAUGGGCGCAAGCCUGAUCCAGCCAUGCCGCGUGGGUGAAGAAGGCCUUCGGGUUGUAAAGCCCUUUUGUUGGGAAAGAAAAGCAGCCGGUUAAUACCCGGUUGUCGUGACGGUACCCAAAGAAUAAGCACCGGCUAACUUCGUGCCAGCCGCCGCGGUAA
This 506-nucleotide ribosomal RNA is filed under the name uncultured bacterium. Its description in RNAcentral is "partial 16S ribosomal RNA". It matches the Rfam family "Bacterial small subunit ribosomal RNA", at positions 29 to 523 of the family's 1533-position model. The record is from RNAcentral.